Heterocephalus glaber (naked mole-rat) is the source of this 904-nucleotide long non-coding RNA. NCBI's taxonomy places the organism in Eukaryota, Metazoa, Chordata, Mammalia, Rodentia, Bathyergidae. The record is from Ensembl.
UGGCCAUUUAACCCAUCCAGACUUCCUACAGGCACAGAGCAGCCUAGAAGCAGAACAUGCUGUGCUGACCUCUCCAGGUGGCCAGAGGGCAGUGGGUUUGCAUCACCACAUUUGCCUAACAAUUGACAUUCUACUUGGCACUGUUCGCUUGCUGACUGAGAACCAACAAAGCCAGAUAUCCUAGCACUGCAAGCAGCACACCAGCCUCCUGAAGGAAGCCAGGGCAGUAAGGCUACAAAUAGCUGCCCAUGAAAACACUGGGGUGAAACUGCCAGGGAGAAGAAAACAACUACCCAGAAGCACCCCAAGGACCACUGGGGACGGAAACAGGGAGAGCAAGCUGAGUGGCCAAGACAUUCAUAUGAAGACUGUGACCUAUGGCCCAGCUAAUAAGAGGACCUCUACCCGCCUCAUUGUGAUGUCCAUGACCCUUCUAUUCUAAGAGGAGAGGACCUCUUGAGAGAGAAGAUUCUGGAAUAACUACAGAUAGAAUGGCAACAUUUAACGAGGAUUGUUGAUGCCAAUCAGCAAAAAUCAGGAAGUUGGGAGGAGGAGGAGGGUAAAGGAGAAGGUUGAGUCCAAUCUGGCUCACAGGUAGACAAACUUAGCACACCACUGGAAAGGUAAAACGGAAGCUCCAGAGAAAGAUAUCUGGAGACACGGCCAUUAGAGUCACCUACAGAGAAAUGACAGCUACAACAACAGGACUGAGAAGGGACGCUUUUGUUCUGAAGGGCAAAACCAUGUCAGAACAGCCUGAGCUGUUCCAAGGGAAGAAGUCUGAGCCACCUCUUCCCCUCUGAUCAGAUGGGCAGGAUUCACAGGGGCUGACCAAGGCCAAGGUAAACAUUCCAGAAAGAUCCCAGGGCCAGCACCGUGCAGGAUAAUGGAGCAAUGAUCUAAU